Molecule: ribosomal RNA, 479 nt
Filed under: uncultured bacterium
Lineage: Bacteria
Description: bacterial SSU rRNA
Rfam family: Bacterial small subunit ribosomal RNA
Source: RNAcentral
UGCAGUCGAACGGGAUUAGAGAGCUUGCUCUCUAUGAAAGUGGCGCACGGGUGCGUAACGCGUAUGCAACCUACCUUAAUCAGGGGGAUAGCCCGAAGAAAUUCGGAUUAAGACCGCAUAAAAACACAGCACAGCAUUGUGCAAUGUUCAAAUAUUUAUAGGAUUAAGAUGGGCAUGCGUGUCAUUAGCUAGUUGGCGGGGUAACGGCCCACCAGGGCGACGAUGACUAGGGGAUCUGAGAGGAUGACCCCCCACACUGGUACUGAGACACGGACCAGACUCCUACGGGAGGCAGCAGUAAGGAAUAUUGGUCAAUGGAGGGAACUCUGAACCAGCCAUGCCGCGUGCAGGAAGACAGCCCUCUGGGUCGUAAACUGCUUUUAUUCGGGAAUAAACCUUAUUACGUGUAAUAAGCUGAAUGUACCGAAGGAAUAAGGAUCGGCUAACUCCGUGCCAGCAGCCGCGGUAAUACGGAGGAU